Molecule: long non-coding RNA, 639 nt
Organism: Gasterosteus aculeatus aculeatus (three-spined stickleback)
Lineage: Eukaryota; Metazoa; Chordata; Actinopteri; Perciformes; Gasterosteidae
Source: Ensembl
CCGUGAGCAUCACGUCGAGGCGAAGCGAAGCAGAUCACAGCAUCCAAAUCUCUCCCCACAGACGCACGCACUACACAAGAGCCUGAGCGGUAGAGAUUGUGUGAGCUCACUUUCCAUCUGUGUUGGACGUCUCUAAACCGCCAGAAUAUCCAAGCGACCAACGAGGAGGCAGGUCAGGAGGGCCGUGAUCCAGGAGAGAGAGACAGAGAGAUGGAGGAGGCAAUGGAAUAAGGAGAUGAAAAGGAGAAAAUAAACUGUGGAGGAAAAGAGAAAAGGAUAAUGUCUCGGACAGAGGGAACCGGGGAGCCGUAACAAGAGUCACGUGAAGUGGACUCACCAAGGCGCUGAGAGCAGAUCGGCCAGAGAUCUGUCCCUGUGAAUCAUCAAGGUUAAAGGGAUGAUUGGGGAUGAUUUGGAAUUUGUGGAGUUGGCAGCAAUGAGGUGUAAGCUGAAAUAAAAAUGACCACAAUUGAAAAUAAGAAAGUAUCUUUGAGUAAUGGUUUUAUUCCCCUCAAGUCGUCUUUGGAUCUGUAUUGUAUGUAUUAAUGCCUCCACAAAUAUGUGUUUUUAGCCGUUCACAUCUGAAUCUUCGUCCGUUGGCUCAGUUUGUGGAAAAAAAAGUGCAUAAAACGAUCACAG